GGUUUGUGGCUCAGUAGUAGAGCACUUGCCUAGCAUGUACAAGGCCCUGGGUUCGAUCCUUAGCACCA
RNAcentral lists this transfer RNA (68 nucleotides) under Marmota monax (woodchuck). RNAcentral describes it as "tRNA.Ala". Lineage: Eukaryota; Metazoa; Chordata; Mammalia; Rodentia; Sciuridae. The record is from RNAcentral.